Haliotis rubra (blacklip abalone) is the source of this 137-nucleotide long non-coding RNA. RefSeq lists it as uncharacterized. The transcript is spliced from 3 exons. NCBI's taxonomy places the organism in Eukaryota, Metazoa, Mollusca, Gastropoda, Lepetellida, Haliotidae. The record is from RefSeq and is a predicted model, not a curated record.
AGGACAGUAAAACAGUAGAAUAUCACAGAUAUAUAUGUAAAACUAGUAAUUAAAUCUCAAACAUUUUAACCAAAGGGGACAACACAUAAUAAAAAUAAGCUAUAAAUCGCCAACAACUGAAGGACUUAUAUAUGUUU